GGGCCUGUAGCUCAGUUGGUAGAGCGCCUCGUUUACACCGAGGAUGUCGGGGGUUCGAGUCCCUCCGGGCCCA
This 73-nucleotide transfer RNA is filed under the name Microcella frigidaquae. Its description in RNAcentral is "Salinibacterium aquaticus tRNA". It matches the Rfam family "tRNA". Rfam says of the family: Transfer RNA (tRNA) molecules are approximately 80 nucleotides in length. Lineage: Bacteria; Bacillati; Actinomycetota; Actinomycetes; Micrococcales; Microbacteriaceae. The record is from Rfam by way of RNAcentral.